UACAGAGGUGGCAAGCGUUGUUCGGAAUUACUGGGCGUAAAGGGCGCGUAGGCGGCCUUCUAAGUCAGACGUGAAAUCCCCCGGCUUAACCGGGGAACUGCGUCUGAUACUGGAUGGCUUGAGUUUGGGAGAGGGAUGCGGAAUUCCAGGUGUAGCGGUGAAAUGCGUAGAUAUCGUAAGGAAGACCAGUGGCGAAGGCGGGUCUCUGGACAGUUCCUGACGCUGAGGCACGAAGGUCAGGGGAGCAAACGGG
This 253-nucleotide ribosomal RNA is filed under the name uncultured bacterium. RNAcentral describes it as "partial 16S ribosomal RNA". It matches the Rfam family "Bacterial small subunit ribosomal RNA", at positions 524 to 776 of the family's 1533-position model. The record is from RNAcentral.